This 460-nucleotide ribosomal RNA is filed under the name uncultured bacterium. RNAcentral's name for it is "partial 16S ribosomal RNA". It matches the Rfam family "Bacterial small subunit ribosomal RNA", at positions 338 to 795 of the family's 1533-position model. The record is from RNAcentral.
CCUACGGGAGACUGCAGUGAGGAAUAUUGGUCAAUGGACGCAAGUCUGAACCAGCCAUGCCGCGUGCAGGAAGACGGCUCUAUGAGUUGUAACCUGCUUUUGUACGAGGGUAAACGCAGAUACGCGUAUCUGUCUGAAAGUAUCGUACGAAUAAGGAUCGGCUAACUCCGUGCCAGCAGCCGCGGUAAUACGGAGGAUUCAAGCGUUAUCCGGAUUUAUUGGGUUUAAAGGGUGCGUAGGCGGUCGGAUAAGUUAGAGGUGAAAUCCCGAGGCUCAACUUCGGAAUUGCCUCUGAUACUGUUCGGCUAGAGAGUAGGUGCGGUAGGCGGAAUGUAUGGUGUAGCGGUGAAAUGCUUAGAGAUCAUACAGAACACCGAUUGCGAAGGCAGCUUACCAAGCUACUUCUGACGUUGAGGCACGAAAGCGUGGGGAGCAAACAGGAUUAGAUACCCUUGUAGUC